Hydra vulgaris (swiftwater hydra) is the source of this 471-nucleotide long non-coding RNA. RefSeq lists it as uncharacterized. Lineage: Eukaryota; Metazoa; Cnidaria; Hydrozoa; Anthoathecata; Hydridae. The record is from RefSeq and is a predicted model, not a curated record.
UUUUAAAGAACUAUUUUUAAAUAUUAACGUUUCUUUGGGUGGCUUGGUAUGGAAAUAUAAUGUGAUUAUUGAGCCUGUUGAGGCGAGUUAAUAAUAUUUAGUCCAGUUCACAAUUAUUAAAAUUAUACAAAUUUUUAAAAGUGGCAGUUAAAAAAUUAACUUAUAUUUAUUACAAUAAAUUAUAAAAUCAUGUAUUUCAUGUAUUAGAAUCAUCCAAUAUCAUACUGAACUGAAAUGAUAAAGAAUAAUGUACUGUAAAAGACAAAGUACAUAAACGGUUUUCCUAUUUUCUUAAUGACACAAAUGCUAAAGUGCAGGAUUGUUCGAAGAAGAUUUCACUAAGAAAUAAUAAUAAUCCUUAUAAUGACAGAUUUAUAGCGUUGAAUUCAACAAGUUUGAAAAAAAGACGAAAGCGUAGUGGCUUAAUUUAAAUGAUUGAAUUAGGUACCCUAAGAAGUCCUAACGGUCUUG